GUGCUUGCUUGGGCAGCACACAGACUGAAAUGAGAACGAUACAGAGAAGAAUCUCAUGGCCCCGUGCAAGGAUGACAUGCAAAUUCGUGAGGUAGUCCAUGUUUUU
Small nuclear RNA from Phyllostomus discolor (pale spear-nosed bat), 106 nucleotides. The record is from RefSeq and is a predicted model, not a curated record. Lineage: Eukaryota; Metazoa; Chordata; Mammalia; Chiroptera; Phyllostomidae.